GAUGAACGCUGGCGGCGUGCCUAAUACAUGCAAGUCGAGCGAACGGACGAGAAGCUUGCUUCUCUGAUGUUAGCGGCGGACGGGUGAGUAACACGUGGAUAACCUACCUAUAAGACUGGGAUAACUUCGGGAAACCGGAGCUAAUCCCGGAUAAUAUUUUGAACCGCAUGGUUCAAAAGUGAAAGACGGUCUUGCUGUCACUUAUAGAUGGAUCCGCGCUGCAUUAGCUAGUUGGUAAGGUAACGGCUUACCAAGGCAACGCUGCAUAGCCGACCUGAGAGGGUGAUCGGCCACACUGGAACUGAGACACGGUCCAGACUCCUACGGGAGGCAGCAGUAGGGAAUCGUCCGCAAUGGGCGAAAGCCUGACGGAGCAACGCCGCGUGAGUGAUGAAGGUCUUCGGAUCGUAAAACUCUGUUAUUAGGGAAGAACAUAUGUGUAAGUAGCUGUGCACAUCUUGACGGUACCUAAUCAGAAAGCCACGGCUAACUACGUG
RNAcentral lists this ribosomal RNA (497 nucleotides) under uncultured bacterium. RNAcentral describes it as "partial 16S ribosomal RNA". It matches the Rfam family "Bacterial small subunit ribosomal RNA", at positions 28 to 507 of the family's 1533-position model. The record is from RNAcentral.